RNAcentral lists this ribosomal RNA (253 nucleotides) under uncultured prokaryote. RNAcentral's name for it is "partial 16S ribosomal RNA". It matches the Rfam family "Bacterial small subunit ribosomal RNA", at positions 524 to 776 of the family's 1533-position model. The record is from RNAcentral.
UACGUAGGGGGCAAGCGUUGUCCGGAGUUACUGGGCGUAAAGCGCACGCAGGCGGAAGGUUGCGUUCGGAGCGACAGUUUCCAGCUUCACUGGAAAAGGCUUCCGAAAACGGGCUUUCUUGAGGGCUUCAGAGGGACAGGGAAUUCCGGGUGGAGUGGUGAAAUGCGUAGAGAUCCGGAGGAACACCAAAGGCGAAGGCACUGUCCUGGGAAGUCACUGACGCUCGGGUGCGAAAGCCAGGGGAGCGAACGGG